GCAAGUUGACUGACAGGAGUUCCAAAGAGGCGGGAUUCCACUGCUCACAGUUUGUUGAUUUGGACCAACAGUUACUAGAAGGAACUUCUAUUCAUCAAAAGACAACAUUAAGAAAUUAUGAAGGCAAGUUUCAGCCCAGAAGAAGAUACAUGCAGCACAUAUAUCUCACAAGAACUCAUAUGUAAAUUAAGUUCUAUAACUUAAAUUAGUUCUAUAACUCUC
This is a long non-coding RNA of Myotis davidii, 222 nucleotides long. RefSeq lists it as uncharacterized. NCBI's taxonomy places the organism in Eukaryota, Metazoa, Chordata, Mammalia, Chiroptera, Vespertilionidae. The transcript has 2 exons. The record is from RefSeq and is a predicted model, not a curated record.